Molecule: small RNA, 892 nt
Filed under: Pan troglodytes (chimpanzee)
Lineage: Eukaryota; Metazoa; Chordata; Mammalia; Primates; Hominidae
Description: processed transcript
Source: RNAcentral
UAGUGGUGCGGCCUGGGCUGGGCUCCAAGACUGGAUCUAUGUCCAAACAGGAGCUUGAUGAUAUCCUCAAAUUUGGCACUGAGGAACUAUUCAAGGAUGAAGCCACUGAUGGAGGAGGAGACAACAAAGAGGGAGAAGAUAGCAGUGUUAUCCACUACGAUGAUAAGGCCAUUGAACGGCUGCUGGACCGUAACCAGGAUGAGACUGAAGACACAGAAUUGCAGGGCAUGAAUGAAUAUUUGAGCUCAUUCAAAGUGGCCCAGUAUGUGGUACGGGAAGAAGAAAUGGGGGAAGAGGAGGUAGAACGGGAAAUCAUUAAACAGGAAGAAAGUGUGGAUCCUGACUACUGGGAGAAAUUGCUGCGGCACCAUUAUGAGCAGCAGCAAGAAGAUCUAGCCCGAAAUCUGGGCAAAGGAAAAAGAAUCCGUAAACAGGUCAACUACAAUGAUGGCUCCCAGGAGGACCGAGAUUGGCAGGACGACCAGUCCGACAACCAGUCCGAUUACUCAGUGGCUUCAGAGGAAGGUGAUGAAGACUUUGAUGAACGUUCAGAAGCUCCCCGUAGGCCCAGUCGUAAGGGCCUGCGGAAUGAUAAAGAUAAGCCAUUGCCUCCUCUGUUGGCCCGUGUUGGUGGGAAUAUUGAAGUACUUGGUUUUAAUGCUCGUCAGCGAAAAGCCUUUCUUAAUGCAAUUAUGCGAUAUGGUAUGCCACCUCAGGAUGCUUUUACUACCCAGUGGCUUGUAAGAGACCUGCGAGGCAAGUCAGAGAAAGAGUUCAAGGCAUAUGUCUCUCUUUUCAUGCGGCAUUUAUGUGAGCCGGGGGCAGAUGGGGCUGAGACCUUUGCUGAUGGUGUCCCCCGAGAAGGCCUGUCUCGCCAGCAUGUCCUUACUAG